This 211-nucleotide ribosomal RNA is filed under the name uncultured Pseudomonas sp. Its description in RNAcentral is "partial 16S ribosomal RNA". It matches the Rfam family "Bacterial small subunit ribosomal RNA", at positions 1174 to 1382 of the family's 1533-position model. Lineage: Bacteria; Pseudomonadati; Pseudomonadota; Gammaproteobacteria; Pseudomonadales; Pseudomonadaceae. The record is from RNAcentral.
UGGGGAUGACGUCAAGUCAUCAUGGCCCUUACGGCCUGGGCUACACACGUGCUACAAUGGUCGGUACAAAGGGUUGCCAAGCCGCGAGGUGGAGCUAAUCCCAUAAAACCGAUCGUAGUCCGGAUCGCAGUCUGCAACUCGACUGCGUGAAGUCGGAAUCGCUAGUAAUCGUGAAUCAGAAUGUCCACGGUCGAAUACGUUCCCGGGCCUU